GGUCGGCUCCUCGUAAUCCGCCUCCUCCCGGGCCUCGUCAGCCAGAGUCUCCUCGAUCCGCUCCAGCAGCGACUGCAGAGGAAGUGCUUGAAAGACGGAGCUUUCCGAGUUUCACCGGGUUCAAGAUGGAGCAUCAACGGAACACCGCAAAUACUUGGAGCAAAGCUACAACGGAGCUUUUAAUGAGGUACUCCGCCGGUCCAGAGCGCUGUCCGGACUGGGAGAGUAGAUGAAGCUAAACAUGGAUUAAUAUUUAAAACUGAAUUAAUUAAAGGACACCUCAAUGUCUGUCAUUCUGCCUUGCAAAACAGACUGGAGUAGAUCGUGAGAUUCCUUUGCACACAUAUCGAUUGAAGUAGGAAUCAUAAUGAAUAAUCGUUUUGAAUCAAACAUCUAUUUUGUAUUGAAUUGUGGCAACAAAAAUUGUAAUCAAAUCUAGAGACAAUAAAACAAUCCCAUUUCUACGCAAAAUCAGACUUUGGUGAAACUUGGGUGAAGCCAAAUCUACUUUAAUUUAUUCAACUUGGUUGAAUGUAACACGCGUUUUCAGAGAAAUUGUGAACCAAAUCCUGCUUUUAUUGCUCAGAAGAGACGUUUUCCUGUUUUUUUAUUUUUCUCAAUUUUUCCUCAAUCUUUCAAUAAGAAAAAGAUCCAUUUACAUUUUGGAUGUACCAUUGUUUACAAAAUUUGACCCUUUUAAUUAAAAUAGUUUAUU
This is a long non-coding RNA of Poecilia latipinna (sailfin molly), 715 nucleotides long. RefSeq lists it as uncharacterized. Lineage: Eukaryota; Metazoa; Chordata; Actinopteri; Cyprinodontiformes; Poeciliidae. The transcript is spliced from 2 exons. The record is from RefSeq and is a predicted model, not a curated record.